UCGAAAACCCGCCCAACAAAAGACCCGCGAACUUGUCUCUACACCAUUGGGAGUGAUGCGAUGGUCGUGGCCUUGUUGCCUAGCCUUCUAUUCUCUCCUUGCGAGUGGAUGUGCACGGACCCUUCGGGUGAUGUGCUCAUUUGCUUGUCAAACAACGAACCCCGGCGCAGAUACGCGCCAAGGAAAAUGGAACAAGGGUGCACGCCCCCAACCCGCUUCCGGGUGGUGUUGGCGCAUGCAAUCUUUCGUACAACUAAACGACUCUCGGCAACGGAUAUCUCGGCUCUUGCAUCGAUGAAGAACGUAGCGAAAUGCGAUACUUGGUGUGAAUUGCAGAAUCCCGUGAACCAUCGAGUCUUUGAACGCAAGUUGCGCCUGAAGCCAUCAGGCUGAAGGCACGUCUGCCUGGGCGUCACGCAUUGCGUCACUCGCCCCCCCUCUCUCGUGCCUAAGCGUGCAUGCCGGGGCGUGGGUGGAUAUUGGCCCCCCGUUUGCGUUUGGUGGUCGGUCGGCCUAAAAGUGAGUCCCCAACGACGGACAUCACGACGAGUGGUGGUUGUUAAAUCGUCGCGCCAUGUUGAGGAUGCCAUUGUUUGUUGCGGGUUGGCUCGUUGACCCUAAAGGUGCUAGCACUUGCGGCACCUCG
Molecule: ribosomal RNA, 646 nt
Filed under: Brachyloma baxteri
Lineage: Eukaryota; Viridiplantae; Streptophyta; Magnoliopsida; Ericales; Ericaceae
Description: eukaryotic LSU rRNA
Rfam family: 5.8S ribosomal RNA (bases 260-415)
Source: RNAcentral